This 219-nucleotide long non-coding RNA is filed under the name Solanum tuberosum (potato). RNAcentral's name for it is "long non-coding RNA (STUB_LNC007312)". Lineage: Eukaryota; Viridiplantae; Streptophyta; Magnoliopsida; Solanales; Solanaceae. The record is from RNAcentral.
UUAUGGUUUCACUGGAAGAUUUUACCAGGUCUGUUGGAGCAUAAUUGGUAGUGAUGUUGUCAAAGUGGUGAACAAGUUCUUCUCAAGUUGAACACUCCUAAAUUCAAUUACACACACAAAUUUGGUCUUACUGCCUAAAAAGAAAAUGUGCAAACUUUUUCUAACUUAAGACCAAUCAGUCUAAGCAAUUUCUUGAACAAAGUAAUAUCCAUGGUGAUU